This 466-nucleotide ribosomal RNA is filed under the name uncultured bacterium. Its description in RNAcentral is "partial 16S ribosomal RNA". It matches the Rfam family "Bacterial small subunit ribosomal RNA", at positions 28 to 505 of the family's 1533-position model. The record is from RNAcentral.
GACGAACGCUGGCGGCGUGCUUAACACAUGCAAGUCGAACGGAAAGGCCCUGCUUUUGUGGGGUGCUCGAGUGGCGAACGGGUGAGUAACACGUGAGUAACCUGCCCUUGACUUUGGGAUAACUUCAGGAAACUGGGGCUAAUACCGGAUAGGAGCUCCUGCUGCAUGGUGGGGGUUGGAAAGUUUCGGCAGUUGGGGAUGGACUCGCGGCUUAUCAGCUUGUUGGUGGGGUAGUGGCUUACCAAGGCUUUGACGGGUAGCCGGCCUGAGAGGGUGACCGGCCACAUUGGGACUGAGAUACGGCCCAGACUCCUACGGGAGGCAGCAGUGGGGAAUAUUGCACAAUGGGCGGAAGCCUGAUGCAGCAACGCCGCGUGCGGGAUGACGGCCUUCGGGUUGUAAACCGCUUUCGCCUGUGACGAAGCGUGAGUGACGGUAAUGGGUAAAGAAGCACCGGCUAACUACG